UAGGGAAUCUUCCACAAUGGACGCAAGUCUGAUGGAGCAACGCCGCGUGAGUGAAGAAGGCUUUCGGGUCGUAAAACUCUGUUAUUGAAGAAGAACGUGUGUGACAGUAACUGGUCAUGCAGUGACGGUAUUCAAUCAGAAAGUCACGGCUAACUACGUGCCAGCAGCCGCGGUAAUACGUAGGUGGCAAGCGUUGUCCGGAUUUAUUGGGCGUAAAGCGAGUGCAGGCGGUCUUUUAAGUCUGAUGUGAAAGCCUUCGGCUUAACCGAAGAAGGGCAUCGGAAACUGGGAGACUUGAGUGCAGAAGAGGAGAGUGGAACUCCAUGUGUAGCGGUGAAAUGCGUAGAUAUAUGGAAGAACACCAGUGGCGAAGGCGGCUCUCUGGUCUGUAACUGACGCUGAGGCUCGAAAGCGUGGGUAGCAAACAGGAUUAGAUACCCUGGUAGUCCACGCCGUAACGAUGAAUACUAAGUGUUGGAG
Molecule: ribosomal RNA, 480 nt
Filed under: uncultured bacterium
Lineage: Bacteria
Description: partial 16S ribosomal RNA
Rfam family: Bacterial small subunit ribosomal RNA
Source: RNAcentral